AGGGAAUCUUCCGCAAUGGACGCAAGUCUGACGGAGCAACGCCGCGUGAGUGAUGAAGGUUUUCGGAUCGUAAAACUCUGUUGUUAGGGAAGAACAAGUACCGUUCGAAUAGGUCGGUACCUUGACGGUACCUAACCAGAAAGCCACGGCUAACUACGUGCCAGCAGCCGCGGUAAUACGUAGGUGGCAAGCGUUAUCCGGAAUUAUUGGGCGUAAAGCGCGCGCAGGCGGUUUCUUAAGUCUGAUGUGAAAGCCCACGGCUCAACCGUGGAGGGUCAUUGGAAACUGGGGAACUUGAGUGCAGAAGAGGAGAGUGGAAUUCCAUGUGUAGCGGUGAAAUGCGUAGAGAUAUGGAGGAACACCAGUGGCGAAGGCGACUCUCUGGUCUGCAACUGACGCUGAGGCGCGAAAGCGUGGGGAGCAAAC
RNAcentral lists this ribosomal RNA (426 nucleotides) under uncultured bacterium. RNAcentral describes it as "bacterial SSU rRNA". It matches the Rfam family "Bacterial small subunit ribosomal RNA", at positions 356 to 773 of the family's 1533-position model. The record is from RNAcentral.